CCUUUGGGGAACGCACUUAGAACCGAAGAGUCGCGCUGUAGCUAGGAUGGACGUGCUCGUGAGAAGACGGUCGCUCGACAAGUGCUGUUGUACCGGCCGGGGCAAAGAGUGCACUGCUACAUGGAGCCUUAGCGCUCCUUUUUGGACCGCUUCCAGUGCAACUUUUCACUCUUUGGGUACUCACUGAUACCUGGAGUACUUUCGAGAAACAACAUUUUUAUUUAAGGACAGUAGGAAAACAAAAAAGCUUUCGUUCGGAUGCCAAUGAUGCUUAGCCUAUGUGUCAAAGUUUCGCCGAGGUGAAUCAAUCCU
Molecule: long non-coding RNA, 312 nt
Organism: Hippocampus comes (tiger tail seahorse)
Lineage: Eukaryota; Metazoa; Chordata; Actinopteri; Syngnathiformes; Syngnathidae
Exons: 3
Source: RefSeq, a predicted model, not a curated record